GAACGAGACCUUCGGGUCUAGUGGCGCACGGGUGCGUAACGCGUGGGAAUCUGCCCUUGGGUUCGGAAUAACAGUUAGAAAUGGCUGCUAAUACCGGAUGAUGACGUAAGUCCAAAGAUUUAUCGCCCAAGGAUGAGCCCGCGUAGGAUUAGCUUGUUGGUGAGGUAAAAGCUCACCAAGGCGACGAUCCUUAGCUGGUCUGAGAGGAUGAUCAGCCACACUGGGACUGAGACACGGCCCAGACUCCUACGGGAGGCAGCAGUGGGGAAUAUUGGACAAUGGGCGAAAGCCUGAUCCAGCAAUGCCGCGUGAGUGAUGAAGGCCUUAGGGUUGUAAAGCUCUUUUACCCGGGAUGAUAAUGACAGUACCGGGAGAAUAAGCUCCGGCUAACUCCGUG
Molecule: ribosomal RNA, 397 nt
Filed under: uncultured bacterium
Lineage: Bacteria
Description: bacterial SSU rRNA
Rfam family: Bacterial small subunit ribosomal RNA
Source: RNAcentral